GCGGCGGGCUGGGACACGUCGCCGGAAUCUGCGUGCCGUUGUACACAUACACCGCAGACGGCACCGCGCCGCACAUCAGCGAGUUGCCGCUGAGGUCCACACGGAACAGACCCGUCAGCACGCUCCAGCCAGAGGGAACAGGCCCGGUUAGCAGAUUCCCGCUCAAGUCCAGCGUGCGCAGGUUGCUCAGCGCAGACCACUCGGCAGGCAGCUGGCCAGAGUACCGGUUGCCCAGCAGCUCCAGGCGAGUCAGAGACGUCAGGACACUCCACGACCGCGGUAACGUGCCCGUCAGGCUGUUGUUGGUGGCGCGAAUGGUGCUCAGGCUGGACACGAACGCCCACGACUCCGGCAAGGAGCCCGUGAGGUUGCGCUGGUUCAGCACCACCGUGGUGGGCUGUCCUGCCGUGCACGACACGCCCGUCCACGCAGCCGUGCAGGGGUCGCUGCUGGUGUUCCAGCCCAGAAUCGCAGCCGGCAACGGACUGGCCGUCACCCGCAGGUCCGCAAGCGCAUAGCCAAACGAAGGCGGAGGUGGAGACGGAGGCGCCGGCGAUGGAGGGGCAGGGCUGGGAGGCGCAGGGCUGGGAGGCACAGGAGGCGGAGACGGCGGGGACGGGCACGCCAGACCAACCUGCGUGCCGCUGCUCGUCACCGGACUGCCAGCAGCCCACGGCGUGGGGAUGCUGCCACACAGUGCGCCGUUAUUGUCCAGCCACAGGAGCUGCAGCGCGCCCAUGCCGCCAGGACCAGCCCAGGCGGCCGGAAUGGUCGAGUAGAAGCCGUUGCCCGACAGGUCCAGCUCCGUCAGACGCGUCAGCGCGGACCAAGACACAGGCAGCAGGCCGCCGAGGCCCGGCCCGUUGUUGGCCACGCUGACGUACUCCAGCUGCGUCAUCUGGGAGUACGAGUCCGGAAGCGUGCCCGUCAGCGUGUUGCCGCUCAACGUCACUGAGCGCAGCGUGCGCACUUGCACCAGGCUGGCCGGCAGGGGGCCAGCCAGCCGCGGCGAGGUGGACGGCAGGCUCAGGUCCACCACGUUGCCGCUGCCGUCGCAGCUGACGCCGUACCAGCUGGUGCAUGGGUUCGGAUGCAUCACGUCGUCCCAUGUGCUGAGCGCCGUGGAGUUGCCCAGCUCGUAUUUGACCUGCAGCAGCGCGUUGGCUGCAGUGGGCGGAGCGGGCGGCGCCGGGCUGGGCGGCGCGGGGCUGGGCGGCCGCGGGCUAGGCGGGUCCGGGCUGGGUGGCGUGGGGCUGGGUGGUGCCGGGCUGGGCGGUACAGGCGGCGCGGGGCUGGGCGGCACGGGCGAAGGGGGCGCCGGUGAGGGCGGAGGAGAUGGCGCUGGCGGCUCCGGGCUGGGCGGCAUGGGGGACGGCGGCUCUGGGCUGGGCGGUGCAGGUGAAGGGGGCGCUGGAGACGGCGGCACAGGAGGCGCAGGGCUCGGCGGUACCGGAGGUGCCGGUGACGGUGGCUCUGGGCUGGGCGGUGCAGGUGAAGGGGGCGCUGGAGGCGCAGGGCUGGGAGGAACAGGCGGCGCAGGGCUCGGGGGCGCUGGGCUGGGCGGCACAGGCGACGGAGGUGGGCUGGGAGGCGUAGGCGGAGGCGGCGGGCUGGGACACGUCGCCGGAAUCUGCGUGCCGUUGUACACAUACACCGCAGACGGCACCGCGCCGCACAUCAGCGAGUUGCCACUGAGGUCCACGCGGAACAGACCCGUCAGCACGCUCCAGCCAGAUGGAACAGGCCCGGUCAGCAGAUUCCCGCUCAGGUCCAGCGUGCGCAGGUUGCUCAGCGCAGACCACUCGGCAGGCAGCUGGCCAGAGUACCGGUUGCCCAGCAGCUCCAGGCGAGUCAGAGACGUCAGGACACUCCACGACCGCGGUAACGUGCCCGUCAGGCUGUUGUUGGUGGCGCGAAUGGUGCUCAGGCUGGACACGAACGCCCACGACUCCGGCAAGGAGCCCGUGAGGUUGCGCUGGUUCAGCACCACCGUGGUGGGCUGUCCUGCCGUGCACGACACGCCCGUCCACGCAGCCGUACAGGGGUCGCUGCUGGUGUUCCAGCCCAGAAUCGCAGCCGGCAACGGACUGGCCGUCACCCGCAGGUCCGCAAGCGCAUAGCCAAACGAAGGCGGAGGUGGAGACGGAGGCGCCGGCGACGGAGGGGCAGGGCUGGGAGGCGCAGGGCUGGGAGGCACAGGAGGCGGAGACGGCGGGGACGGGCACGCCAGACCAACCUGCGUGCCGCUGCUCGUCACCGGACUGCCAGCAGCCCACGGCGUGGGGAUGCUGCCACACAGUGCGCCGUUGUUGUCCAGCCACAGAAGCUGCAGCGCGCCCAUGCCGCCAGGACCAGCCCAGGCGGCCGGAAUGGUCGAGUAGAAGCCGUUGCCCGACAGGUCCAGCUCCGUCAGACGCGUCAGCGCGGACCAAGACACAGGCAGCAGGCCGCCGAGGCCCGGCCCGUUGUUGGCCACGCUGACGUACUCCAGCUGCGUCAUCUGGGAGUACGAGUCCGGAAGCGUGCCCGUCAGCGUGUUGCCGCUCAACGUCACUGAGCGCAGCGUGCGCACUUGCACCAGGCUGGCCGGCAGGGGGCCAGCCAGCCGCGGCGAGGUGGACGGCAGGCUCAGGUCCACCACGUUGCCGCUGCCGUCGCAGCUGACGCCGUACCAGCUGGUGCAUGGGUUCGGAUGCAUCACGUCGUCCCACGUGCUGAGCGCCGUGGAGUUGCCCAGCUCGUAUUUGACCUGCAGCAGCGCGUUGGCUGCAGUGGGCGGAGCGGGCGGCGCCGGGCUGGGCGGCGCGGGGCUGGGCGGCCGCGGGCUAGGCGGGUCCGGCCUGGGUGGCGUGGGGCUGGGUGGUGCCGGGCUGGGCGGUACAGGCGGCGCGGGGCUGGGCGGCACGGGCGAAGGGGGCGCCGGUGAGGGCGGAGGAGAUGGCGCUGGCGGCUCCGGGCUGGGCGGCAUGGGGGACGGCGGCUCUGGGCUGGGCGGUGCAGGUGACGGGGGCGCUGGAGACGGCGGCACAGGAGGCGCAGGGCUCGGCGGUACCGGAGGUGCCGGUGACGGUGGCUCUGGGCUGGGCGGUGCAGGUGAAGGGGGCGCUGGAGGCGCAGGGCUGGGAGGAACAGGCGGCGCAGGGCUCGGGGGCGCUGGGCUGGGCGGCUCCGGAGAAGGCGGCACAGGAGGCGCAGGGCUGGGAGGAACAGGCGGCGCAGGGCUCGGAGGCGCUGGGCUGGGCGGCACAGGCGACGGAGGCGGGCUGGGAGGCGUAGGCGGAGGCGGCGGGCUGGGACACGUCGCCGGAAUCUGCGUGCCGUUGUACACAUACACCGCAGACGGCACCGGGCCGCACAUCAGCGAGUUGCCACUGAGGUCCACGCGGAACAGACCCGUCAGCACGCUCCAGCCAGAGGGAACAGGCCCGGUCAACAGAUUCCCACUCAGGUCCAGCGUGCGCAGGUUGCUCAGCGCAGACCACUCGGCAGGCAGCUGGCCAGAGUACCGGUUGCCCAGCAGCUCCAGGCGAGUCAGAGACGUCAGGACACUCCACGACCGCGGUAACGUGCCCGUCAGGCUGUUGUUGGUGGCGCGAAUGGUGCUCAGGCUGGACACGAACGCCCACGACUCCGGCAAGGAGCCCGUGAGGUUGCGCUGGUUCAGCACCACCGUGGUGGGCUGUCCUGCCGUGCACGACACGCCCGUCCACGCAGCCGUACAGGGGUCGCUGCUGGUGUUCCAGCCCAGAAUCGCAGCCGGCAACGGACUGGCCGUCACCCGCAGGUCCGCAAGCGCAUAGCCAAACGAAGGCGGAGGUGGAGACGGAGGCGCCGGCGACGGAGGGGCAGGGCUGGGAGGCGCAGGGCUGGGAGGCACAGGAGGCGGAGACGGCGGGGACGGGCACGCCAGACCAACCUGCGUGCCGCUGCUCGUCACCGGACUGCCAGCAGCCCACGGCGUGGGGAUGCUGCCACACAGUGCGCCGUUGUUGUCCAGCCACAGGAGCUGCAGCGCGCCCAUGCCGCCAGGACCAGCCCAGGCGGCCGGAAUGGUCGAGUAGAAGCCGUUGCCCGACAGGUCCAGCUCCGUCAGACGCGUCAGCGCGGACCAAGACACAGGCAGCAGGCCGCCGAGGCCCGGCCCGUUGUUGGCCACGCUGACGUACUCCAGCUGCGUCAUCUGGGAGUACGAGUCCGGAAGCGUGCCCGUCAGCGUGUUGCCGCUCAACGUCACUGAGCGCAGCGUGCGCACUUGCACCAGGCUGGCCGGCAGGGGGCCAGCCAGCCGCGGCGAGGUGGACGGCAGGCUCAGGUCCACCACGUUGCCGCUGCCGUCGCAGCUGACGCCGUACCAGCUGGUGCAUGGGUUCGGAUGCAUCACGUCGUCCCACGUGCUGAGCGCCGUGGAGUUGCCCAGCUCGUAUUUGACCUGCAGCAGCGCGUUGGCUGCAGUGGGCGGAGCGGGCGGCGCCGGGCUGGGCGGCGCGGGGCUGGGCGGCCGCGGGCUAGGCGGGUCCGGGCUGGGUGGCGUGGGGCUGGGUGGUGCCGGGCUGGGCGGUACAGGCGGCGCCGGGCUGGGCGGCACGGGCGAAGGGGGCGCCGGUGAGGGCGGAGGAGAUGGCGCUGGCGGCUCCGGGCUGGGCGGUGCAGGUGAAGGGGGCGCUGGAGACGGCGGAACAGGAGGCGCAGGGCUCGGCGGUACCGGAGGUGCCGGUGACGGUGGCUCUGGGCUGGGCGGUGCAGGUGAAGGGGGCGCUGGAGGCGCAGGGCUGGGAGGAACAGGCGGCGCAGGGCUCGGGGGCGCUGGGCUGGGCGGCUCCGGAGAAGGCGGCACAGGAGGCGCAGGGCUGGGAGGAACAGGCGGCGCAGGGCUCGGAGGCGCUGGGCUGGGCGGCACAGGCGACGGAGGCGGGCUGGGAGGCGUAGGCGGAGGCGGCGGGCUGGGACACGUCGCCGGAAUCUGCGUGCCGUUGUACACAUACACCGCAGACGGCACCGGGCCGCACAUCAGCGAGUUACCACUGAGGUCCACGCGGAACAGACCCGUCAGCACGCUCCAGCCAGAGGGAACAGGCCCGGUCAACAGAUUCCCGCUCAGGUCCAGCGUGCGCAGGUUGCUCAGCGUAGACCACUCGGCAGGCAGCUGGCCAGAGUACCGGUUGCCCAGCAGCUCCAGGCGAGUCAGAGACGUCAGGACACUCCACGACCGCGGUAACGUGCCCGUCAGGCUGUUGUUGGUGGCGCGAAUGGUGCUCAGGCUGGACACGAACGCCCACGACUCCGGCAAGGAGCCCGUGAGGUUGCGCUGGUUCAGCACCACCGUGGUGGGCUGUCCUGCCGUGCACGACACGCCCGUCCACGCAGCCGUGCAGGGGUCGCUGCUGGUGUUCCAGCCCAGAAUCGCAGCCGGCAACGGACUGGCCGUCACCCGCAGGUCCGCAAGCGCAUAGCCAAACGAAGGCGGAGGUGGAGACGGAGGCGCCGGCGACGGAGGGGCAGGGCUGGGAGGCGCAGGGCUGGGAGGCACAGGAGGCGGAGACGGCGGGGACGGGCACGCCAGACCAAUCUGCGUGCCGCUGCUCGUCACCGGACUGCCAGCAGCCCACGGCGUGGGGAUGCUGCCACACAGUGCGCCGUUGUUGUCCAGCCACAAAAGCUGCAGCGCGCCCAUGCCGCCAGGACCAGCCCAGGCGGCCGGAAUGGUCGAGUAGAAGCCGUUGCCCGACAGGUCCAGCUCCGUCAGACGCGUCAGCGCGGACCAAGACACAGGCAGCAGGCCGCCGAGGCCCGGCCCGUUGUUGGCCACGCUGACGUACUCCAGCUGCGUCAUCUGGGAGUACGAGUCCGGAAGCGUGCCCGUCAGCGUGUUGCCGCUCAACGUCACUGAGCGCAGCGUGCGCACUUGCACCAGGCUGGCCGGCAGGGGGCCAGCCAGCCGCGGCGAGGUGGACGGCAGGCUCAGGUCCACCACGUUGCCGCUGCCGUCGCAGCUGACGCCGUACCAGCUGGUGCAUGGGUUCGGAUGCAUCACGUCGUCCCACGUGCUGAGCGCCGUGGAGUUGCCCAGCUCGUAUUUGACCUGCAGCAGCGCGUUGGCUGCAGUGGGCGGAGCGGGCGGCGCCGGGCUGGGCGGCGCGGGGCUGGGCGGCCGCGGGCUGGGCGGUACGGGUGAUGCAGGUGGUACUGGGCUGGGCGGUUCAGGCGCCGGCGGAUUUGGGCUUGGCGGCGCCGGGCUAGGAGGGCUGGGGCUAGGAGGCGCCGGCGAAGGUGGCGGCAAAGGAGAGGGAGGGUCCGGACUUGGUGGCGCAGGGGACGGCGGCACCGGGCUCGGCGGUACAGGGCUGGGCGGCGCUGGGGAAGGCGGCUGUGGAGGCGCCGGGCUCGGCGGUAAUGGUGGAACUGGGCUGGGCGGUGUCGGGCUGGGAGGCACGGGCGAUGGCGGAACAGGCGGUGCAGGAGACGGCGGCUGCGGAGGAUCUGGAGAUGGAGGCGUAGGGGAAGGUGGCAUAGGUGACGGCGGUACAGGCGGCGCUGGUGGCGACGGUGAAGGUGGGUCCGGAGAAGGCGGUGCAGGAGACGGGGGUGGGAGUGGAGCAGGCGGCUCGGGCGAUGGUGGCGCGGGGCUGGGUGGCAUCGGACUCGGCGGAUGCGGGGUGGGAGGUACGGGUGGUACCGGAGACGGCGGUACAGGCGGGGACGGGCUGGGAGGAAUAGGCGACGGCGGGUUGGGACUGGGUGGUUGCGGGGAUGGUGGAUGAGAGGGCAGCGGUGGCGGUGGUACUGGCGGCAGCGGAGGCGAGGGUGGUGGCGGCGGGCUAGGACAAGGUGAAGGUAUGGUUGUCCCAUUGUACACAAAGUUCGCUGCGGUAGUCGCCGGCAGGGCACCACACAUUGUGUUGUCGCUCAGCUGCAGGCAGAUGGGGUCACAUGGAAACUUACGAGGCGGCCGGCACAUAUCAAAAAGCAUCGUGUUCUGACUACUUGAUAUUUACCCCAACCAGGUCGCUCGAUGCAGCUGCACUAUGCUGGUAAACGACGGCCCUCACCUGAAUGCGAGUAGUCUGUGUCAGGGCGCUCCAUGUAGAUGGGACAGGCCCCGUCAGGCCGUUCCCACCCAGGUCCAAGGUGCGAAGAUUAGUAAGCGUGGACCACUCGGCAGGCAGCUGGCCCGAGAAAGCGUUGCCCAGUAGCUCCAGGCGAGCCAGCCCGAUCAACCCCGCCCACUGCCGCGGUAGCGUCCCACUCAGGCUGUUGUUGUUCAUGCGGAUGCUGGUCAGGCUCGUCACAUACAGCCACGAGCUCGGCAAGGAGCCAGUCAACCCGCGCUGCAGCAACAGAACACCGGAGGGUUGCCCGGCCGUGCAGGAAACACCUGUGCACAGAAUGUCAAACGGGCCAUGUGAAAACCGGUACGUCAGCAGGUAAAGGCGGUGAGUAAACAGACGCAAAACGUCGCUAUGCCCUCCGUGGGUUCUUCGCACCUGUCCACGCAGCCGUGCAGGGGUCGCUGCUGGUGUUCCAGCCCAG
This 7527-nucleotide long non-coding RNA is filed under the name Chlamydomonas reinhardtii. Its description in RNAcentral is "long non-coding RNA (CREI_LNC001091)". The record is from RNAcentral. Lineage: Eukaryota; Viridiplantae; Chlorophyta; Chlorophyceae; Chlamydomonadales; Chlamydomonadaceae.